AGAGUUUGAUCAUGGCUCAGGAUGAACGCUAGCUACAGGCUUAACACAUGCAAGUCGAGGGGAAACGACAUCGAAAGCUUGCUUUUGAUGGGCGUCGACCGGCGCACGGGUGAGUAACGCGUAUCCAACCUGCCCACCACUUGGGGAUAACCUUGCGAAAGUAAGACUAAUACCCAAUGACGUCUCUAGAAGACAUCUGAAAGAGAUUAAAGAUUUAUCGGUGAUGGAUGGGGAUGCGUCUGAUUAGCUUGUUGGGCGGGGUAACGGCCCACCAAGGCGACGAUCAGUAGGGGUUCUGGAGAGGAACGGUCCCCCACAUUGGAACUGAGACACGGUCCAAACUCCGUAACGGGAGCA
RNAcentral lists this ribosomal RNA (357 nucleotides) under uncultured bacterium. RNAcentral's name for it is "bacterial SSU rRNA". It matches the Rfam family "Bacterial small subunit ribosomal RNA", at positions 8 to 349 of the family's 1533-position model. The record is from RNAcentral.